Arachis ipaensis is the source of this 205-nucleotide non-coding RNA. NCBI's taxonomy places the organism in Eukaryota, Viridiplantae, Streptophyta, Magnoliopsida, Fabales, Fabaceae. The record is from RefSeq and is a predicted model, not a curated record.
CAAGGCUCAAUUGAAGGACUUUUGGGACCAGAUUUCUGACCAGAGUUAUGAUUCCAGUCUCAGAACCGUCUUUGACAUGGUUGAUAAAGAUGCAGAUGGAAGAAUCACCGAGGAAGAAAUUAAAGAGAUCAUCUGCCUUAGUGCCACAACAAACAAACUCUCAAACAUACAACAGCAUGUUAAAGAAUAUGUAGCUUUGAUCAUG